RNAcentral lists this ribosomal RNA (193 nucleotides) under uncultured Burkholderia sp. RNAcentral describes it as "partial 16S ribosomal RNA". It matches the Rfam family "Bacterial small subunit ribosomal RNA", at positions 337 to 522 of the family's 1533-position model. The record is from RNAcentral. Lineage: Bacteria; Pseudomonadati; Pseudomonadota; Betaproteobacteria; Burkholderiales; Burkholderiaceae.
UCCUACGGGAGGCAGCAGUGGGGAAUUUUGGACAAUGGGCGAAAGCCUGAUCCAGCAAUGCCGCGUGUGUGAAGAAGGCCUUCGGGUUGUAAAGCACUUUUGUCAGGGAAGAAAUCCUUUGGGCUAAUACCCUGGGGGGAUGACGGUACCUGAAGAAUAAGCACCGGCUAACUACGUGCCAGCAGCCGCGGUA